RNAcentral lists this ribosomal RNA (191 nucleotides) under Salmonella enterica subsp. enterica serovar Infantis. RNAcentral's name for it is "partial 16S ribosomal RNA". It matches the Rfam family "Bacterial small subunit ribosomal RNA", at positions 1 to 187 of the family's 1533-position model. Lineage: Bacteria; Pseudomonadati; Pseudomonadota; Gammaproteobacteria; Enterobacterales; Enterobacteriaceae. The record is from RNAcentral. RNAcentral also lists the same sequence under 3 other names.
AAAUUGAAGAGUUUGAUCAUGGCUCAGAUUGAACGCUGGCGGCAGGCCUAACACAUGCAAGUCGAACGGUAGCACAGAGAGCUUGCUCUCGGGUGACGAGUGGCGGACGGGUGAGUAAUGUCUGGGAAACUGCCUGAUGGAGGGGGAUAACUACUGGAAACGGUGGCUAAUACCGCAUAACGUCGCAAGAC